RNAcentral lists this long non-coding RNA (924 nucleotides) under Bos taurus (domestic cattle). RNAcentral describes it as "long non-coding RNA NONBTAT017226". Lineage: Eukaryota; Metazoa; Chordata; Mammalia; Artiodactyla; Bovidae. The record is from RNAcentral.
UAUAGCAACCAUCCCUGUAUCACAAUAGGACCAAUAGGCUUUGCCCCAUAUACUGUAACUAUUUGGGCCAUAGAAAGAUAACUUUAAAAGUCAUAUUUUCUUUACCGACUGCCCAAAAGUAAUAGAAAUCGUAUAUUUCCCUUGAUUUGUAUAGAAUAUAACCACGCAGUGGGCUCCAGAGAAGUGUGUGCAAGGCAUGUCAGCCUUAAGAACUUUUCUAUUGUAGGCUUCUGAGCUUUAGUUCAGGUUACAGGCAACUUGAAAUCUGUUUUACUCUCAGACAUCAUUCAAAAAAGCUGGCUAUUUUUAAUUUUAUUAACAGACAUUUAUUCCUGGGGAGGGUAAAUCCAUUUUUCACUUAUCGGCCAUAAUAGAGCCUUAGUUGAUCCCUCAAAUGGCAGUGAGACAGAACAAAUAAACCGUGAAAGCCUUUCAUUCUGAAACUUUUCAGUAAGAAUGUUAAAAGAAACUUAACAUUAGCUUAAGACGUUGACCUAUUUCUGUGUAAGUGAUUAGAAUUUCACAUCAACUUAGAAUAUAAUCUUCAUUCUAAAUUGUGUUUAUCUGCUGGUAAUUUUAAUUCUCAAUUAAAAUUUAGAGGUACAGCACCUGACACUUAAAUUAAUACUUCUUCUAAUAAAGUGUUUUGAAGUGGAAUACAGCUUUCCUUUAAAAAAACUUUAAAAUGGGUAAUAUUCUGAAAUUCUUAGUGACUGUCUGAAUGUUUUAUGGAGAUUAAACCAAAUGACUAUAUAGAAAUCAUUCUGUCAAGCUCUCUUUAUAUAAAGUUUUAAAUAAUUAAUGAAUCAAGAUAGGAAUCUUCUUUCUUCAAUAAACCAGUGCUUUAAUAUUUUUCUUUUAUCCUGUUUGAUUUUGGAUCUUGUUUAGUGUUUACUGCUUGUACCAUUUUUUGUUUGCAUCAUC